Molecule: non-coding RNA, 1142 nt
Organism: Aegilops tauschii subsp. strangulata
Lineage: Eukaryota; Viridiplantae; Streptophyta; Magnoliopsida; Poales; Poaceae
Source: RefSeq, a predicted model, not a curated record
UUUUUGGGGGGAUUUGAUUGUGCUCUGUCAGAUCUAUGUAUCUAUAUGGGUGAUAGUUAUUUUUUUUAAUAAUGUAACCUCUCAAUUUCUAGUUCUCUUGAAGGGUACAUUAUGAGCAUGUAAACUUCUCUAACAAUCAAAUUGCCACAUAAACUGUUUUAUUUUGGUAGUGUACUGUCUUAAGCACUCAUCAAAGCAGCAGAGCUAUCGCACAAUUAUUUCCCUACUUAUACCUUUUUACACUUUUAUAUGUGCACCUUCUUCUGGUAUUUUUUUAUGACAUUCAUUCUUGUGUCUGAAGUCUUGAUGUGUGCAGAACUACUUUCGCGGUGGAAUGAUAUUUGGUGAGCCAGGGUGUGUCACAUGUUCUCACAGCCUGCCGUCAUCAAUCAAGAUUGGCAAGGAGACACUUGGGUAGGAGAAAAGGAAACGGGAGAGCAUGAGAGAGGAAGACGUCGAACACGUACAUACAUAAGAACCUUUCACUAUGUUCCAUUUUGCUACAAGAUGUUCAUAACCUAAGUAAUGCAGACAGAUUUACAUAUUUUGUGUGAUGGUAGUAUUCAUCAUAGUUUUAUGUUAACCAACCAUGUUGAUUAUCCUACUUCAUGUUCGUGUCAAUCCAAACUCAUCAUAUCACUCUCGAUUUUUAGUCAUGCUUGCAGCUUUGAUCUUCAACUAUACGCAGAAAGAAUGUCUUAGGCUCAAGGUACUGUUGAAACUUGGACGUCAUCCAAAUCAUAUGCUUUUUGGGCUGUACGAGCUUAGACUAUCUAUUGCAUUCAUCCUGGCUCAAAAUUUUCAGUUUGUAAUUGUCCAUGAUGACGGCACAACACACAUAGUGCUUGCUUUGUUAAGAUUUUUAUGUUCUCAAGGAUGUUAAAGGGUUCCUCCUGGGAACCAAGAGGACAGCCUUGAACUCAAGCUGCCUCUUCACAGAGAAGUGCUUGAACGCAAAGAUGCUCCUCCCGAGUCAUUUGACAGAUAUAGAACUAAGAUUUUAUGAAGUAACCUGAAGGUCGGAUGUGUUUUGUAGUAACUAUAUCUCUUUUGUUAUCUUUUUUUUUCUUUAUGAUUGGGAGUAGUAUAUGUUGUUUUAGAGGGUCUAAUUAUCAGAAAAUAAGAUUUUGUUCUUUUGUUUC